CUAGAUUAUUACCUAUUGCCAUGGAAAUCGUUUUGUUGUAUUUCUAUUUCACUACAGGAACAAGCAGCAGGAGCUAAUGGACCAUAAGAGGGAAAUUUGUUGUUUAAACAAUGAUUAUCUUUUAUAUUUGGCUAACAUGAAAAGGGGAAAGUACAGUUUUUGUGUCACACUGCAUGAGAAGGUCUCCUAAAAAUCCAGAACAGAAGAUCAUUAAGAGAGUGAUUGCUCUUGAAGGAGAUAUUGUCAGCCUUCCCUGACAUCCAGCUCCGUCUUCGAGUCCCUAGACAAUGUGAUUUUUUUUUAAUACAUACGAUAGCAAAUAGAAGAGAUUUCUUGAAUUCAUGUGAUAGCAAAUAGAAGAGCUUCAGUGAAAGGAAUGUUUUAUGUUAAUCUCUGUGGAAGUCCAAUUUAUAGGAAAAACAUUUGAAAAUAAAAUGGUUUCCCUAGGACUUCUGCAUGCCCAUGCCACACAUAUCCUGUGGCCCCCGGAGCGCUGGCAGAAAUUGGAAUCUGUUCUUCCUCCAGAGCGCUUACCAGUACAGAGAGAAGAGGAAUGACUGCAUGAAUCUACCUGAGUUGCUGGCAUUGGGAGGCCAGUUACUGGAGAGGAAUGGAAAAAAGAAGCCUCCAAAAGGGAAAAACUUCUGACAGUAUGAUGCUGUGCGAGAAACAUUUACAGCACAUUAAGACGAUCUGUAUUAUUAAAUAAAUAAUUUUCAAAUGUUAAAAGUAUUAAAUGGCACCUGAUUUUGUGUUAAAUUUUAGUUCCCUGUUGUUUAAUGCCCAUAAAAUAUGCAGACCUUUGGGAAUAUAAAAAUAUUGCACCCACAUGUCUUAAUGGGGCUAAAUUUCAGAUU
RNAcentral lists this small RNA (857 nucleotides) under Pongo abelii (Sumatran orangutan). RNAcentral describes it as "processed transcript". The record is from RNAcentral. Lineage: Eukaryota; Metazoa; Chordata; Mammalia; Primates; Hominidae.